UUAAGCGACUAAGCGUACACGGUGGAUGCCCUGGCAGUCAGAGGCGAUGAAGGACGUGCUAAUCUGCGAUAAGCGUCGGUGAGGUGAUAUGAACCGUUAUAACCGGCGAUUUCCGAAUGGGGAAACCCAGUGUGUUUCGACACACUAUCAUUAACUGAAUCCAUAGGUUAAUGAGGCGAACCGGGGGAACUGAAACAUCUAAGUACCCCGAGGAAAAGAAAUCAACCGAGAUUCCCCCAGUAGCGGCGAGCGAACGGGGAGGAGCCCAGAGCCUGAAUCAGUGUGUGUGUUAGUGGAAGCGUCUGGAAAGGCGUGCGAUACAGGGUGACAGCCCCGUACACAAAAAUGCACAUAUUGUGAGCUCGAUGAGUAGGGCGGGACACGUGGUAUCCUGUCUGAAUAUGGGGGGACCAUCCUCCAAGGCUAAAUACUCCUGACUGACCGAUAGUGAACCAGUACCGUGAGGGAAAGGCGAAAAGAACCCCGGCGAGGGGAGUGAAAAAGAACCUGAAACCGUGUACGUACAAGCAGUGGGAGCCUCUUAAUGGGGUGACUGCGUACCUUUUGUAUAAUGGGUCAGCGACUUAUAUUCUGUAGCAAGGUUAACCGAAUAGGGGAGCCGAAGGGAAACCGAGUCUUAACUGGGCGUUAAGUUGCAGGGUAUAGACCCGAAACCCGGUGAUCUAGCCAUGGGCAGGUUGAAGGUUGGGUAACACUAACUGGAGGACCGAACCGACUAAUGUUGAAAAAUUAGCGGAUGACUUGUGGCUGGGGGUGAAAGGCCAAUCAAACCGGGAGAUAGCUGGUUCUCCCCGAAAGCUAUUUAGGUAGCGCCUCGUGAAUUCAUCUCCGGGGGUAGAGCACUGUUUCGGCAAGGGGGUCAUCCCGACUUACCAACCCGAUGCAAACUGCGAAUACCGGAGAAUGUUAUCACGGGAGACACACGGCGGGUGCUAACGUCCGUCGUGAAGAGGGAAACAACCCAGACCGCCAGCUAAGGUCCCAAAGUCAUGGUUAAGUGGGAAACGAUGUGGGAAGGCCCAGACAGCCAGGAUGUUGGCUUAGAAGCAGCCAUCAUUUAAAGAAAGCGUAAUAGCUCACUGGUCGAGUCGGCCUGCGCGGAAGAUGUAACGGGGCUAAACCAUGCACCGAAGCUGCGGCAGCGACGCUUAUGCGUUGUUGGGUAGGGGAGCGUUCUGUAAGCCUGUGAAGGUGUGCUGUGAGGCAUGCUGGAGGUAUCAGAAGUGCGAAUGCUGACAUAAGUAACGAUAAAGCGGGUGAAAAGCCCGCUCGCCGGAAGACCAAGGGUUCCUGUCCAACGUUAAUCGGGGCAGGGUGAGUCGACCCCUAAGGCGAGGCCGAAAGGCGUAGUCGAUGGGAAACAGGUUAAUAUUCCUGUACUUGGUGUUACUGCGAAGGGGGGACGGAGAAGGCUAUGUUGGCCGGGCGACGGUUGUCCCGGUUUAAGCGUGUAGGCUGAUUUUCCAGGCAAAUCCGGAAAAUCAAGGCUGAGGCGUGAUGACGAGGCACUACGGUGCUGAAGCAACAAAUGCCCUGCUUCCAGGAAAAGCCUCUAAGCAUCAGGUAACAUCAAAUCGUACCCCAAACCGACACAGGUGGUCAGGUAGAGAAUACCAAGGCGCUUGAGAGAACUCGGGUGAAGGAACUAGGCAAAAUGGUGCCGUAACUUCGGGAGAAGGCACGCUGAUAUGUAGGUGAAGCGACUUGCUCGUGGAGCUGAAAUCAGUCGAAGAUACCAGCUGGCUGCAACUGUUUAUUAAAAACACAGCACUGUGCAAACACGAAAGUGGACGUAUACGGUGUGACGCCUGCCCGGUGCCGGAAGGUUAAUUGAUGGGGUUAGCGGCAACGCGAAGCUCUUGAUCGAAGCCCCGGUAAACGGCGGCCGUAACUAUAACGGUCCUAAGGUAGCGAAAUUCCUUGUCGGGUAAGUUCCGACCUGCACGAAUGGCGUAAUGAUGGCCAGGCUGUCUCCACCCGAGACUCAGUGAAAUUGAACUCGCUGUGAAGAUGCAGUGUACCCGCGGCAAGACGGAAAGACCCCGUGAACCUUUACUAUAGCUUGACACUGAACAUUGAGCCUUGAUGUGUAGGAUAGGUGGGAGGCUUUGAAGUGUGGACGCCAGUCUGCAUGGAGCCGACCUUGAAAUACCACCCUUUAAUGUUUGAUGUUCUAACGUGGGCCCGUAAUCCGGGUUGCGGACAGUGUCUGGUGGGUAGUUUGACUGGGGCGGUCUCCUCCUAAAGAGUAACGGAGGAGCACGAAGGUUGGCUAAUCCUGGUCGGACAUCAGGAGGUUAGUGCAAUGGCAUAAGCCAGCUUGACUGCGAGCGUGACGGCGCGAGCAGGUGCGAAAGCAGGUCAUAGUGAUCCGGUGGUUCUGAAUGGAAGGGCCAUCGCUCAACGGAUAAAAGGUACUCCGGGGAUAACAGGCUGAUACCGCCCAAGAGUUCAUAUCGACGGCGGUGUUUGGCACCUCGAUGUCGGCUCAUCACAUCCUGGGGCUGAAGUAGGUCCCAAGGGUAUGGCUGUUCGCCAUUUAAAGUGGUACGCGAGCUGGGUUUAGAACGUCGUGAGACAGUUCGGUCCCUAUCUGCCGUGGGCGCUGGAGAACUGAGGGGGGCUGCUCCUAGUACGAGAGGACCGGAGUGGACGCAUCACUGGUGUUCGGGUUGUCAUGCCAAUGGCACUGCCCGGUAGCUAAAUGCGGAAGAGAUAAGUGCUGAAAGCAUCUAAGCACGAAACUUGCCCCGAGAUGAGUUCUCCCUGACUCCUUGAGAGUCCUGAAGGAACGUUGAAGACGACGACGUUGAUAGGCCGGGUGUGUAAGCGCAGCGAUGCGUUGAGCUAACCGGUACUAAUGAACCGUGAGGCUUAACCUU
RNAcentral lists this ribosomal RNA (2903 nucleotides) under Escherichia coli. RNAcentral describes it as "bacterial LSU rRNA". It matches the Rfam family "Bacterial large subunit ribosomal RNA". Lineage: Bacteria; Pseudomonadati; Pseudomonadota; Gammaproteobacteria; Enterobacterales; Enterobacteriaceae. The record is from RNAcentral.